This 23-nucleotide non-coding RNA is filed under the name Cricetulus griseus (Chinese hamster). Lineage: Eukaryota; Metazoa; Chordata; Mammalia; Rodentia; Cricetidae. The record is from RNAcentral.
AUGCAGGCAAACAGAAUACUCCA